GACGAACGCUGGCGGCGUGCUUAACACAUGCCAGUCGAACGGAAAGGCCCUGCUUUUGUGGGGUGCUCGAGUGGCGAACGGGUGAGUAACACGUGAGUAACCUGCCCUUGACUUUGGGAUAACUUCAGGAAACUGGGGCUAAUACCGGAUAGGAGCUCCUGCUGCAUGGUGGGGGUUGGAAAGUUUCGGCGGUUGGGGAUGGACUCGCGGCUUAUCAGCUUGUUGGUGGGGUAGUGGCUUACCAAGGCUUUGACGGGUAGCCGGCCUGAGAGGGUGACCGGCAACAUUAGGACUGAGAUGCGGCCCAGACUCCUACGGGAGGCAGCAGUGGGGAAUAGUGCACAGUGGGCGGAAGGCUGAUGCAGCAACGCGGCGUGCGGGAUGACGGCCUUCGGGUUGUAAACCGCUUUCGCCUGUGACGAAGCGUGAGUGACGGUAAUGGGGAAAGAAGCACCGGCUAACUACGUG
This 468-nucleotide ribosomal RNA is filed under the name uncultured bacterium. Its description in RNAcentral is "partial 16S ribosomal RNA". It matches the Rfam family "Bacterial small subunit ribosomal RNA", at positions 28 to 507 of the family's 1533-position model. The record is from RNAcentral.